Long non-coding RNA from Ictalurus punctatus (channel catfish), 1108 nucleotides. The record is from Ensembl. Lineage: Eukaryota; Metazoa; Chordata; Actinopteri; Siluriformes; Ictaluridae.
GUCGGGAGGAACAUUAACACCGUUCGGUCUCUGUUAUUACCCGACUGUUAUUAUUCCGCCUCAUUAUUUCACCCCCUGUGGGAUGCGUACAGGAAAAUCCCGACUGCACUGAAGAAUCGUCUGGGUGGUGUCAGGGGGUUCGCGGAAGAAAGACUAGAGCAAGACAUCAAACAAGAGCAGAGCAGAGAGAGAGAGAAAUGUGGAACGAGCGAGGGUGGACGGAGAGAAAAGGAUCUGGGCAUGUGUGUGGCCAUAAGCUGAGAAAAGCCGAGGUUGAACAGGACCUUCCGGGACCUGACUUUGGAGGAAGUGGAUCAGACCUUUACUGCUGCAGGAGGUCUGACUUCAAGAUGUCAGAGGACUUGGUUAAAUGGGUGGCACUAGAGCAAUUCAUCACCUGACUUCCAGCCGGCACAGCUUAGGGGCACCAGCGUCACCAGCCUGGUGCAGUCCCGCUGGCAGAAGACCACAUGCCUUAGUUUCCUUGGCCAAAAUACCUUCAAUCCUUUACUAACCUGUCUUUUUCUUUUCCUCUCUGCAUUCCACUGGACUGUGCAUCUGAUUCCCUGAGAGCAGGAACAAAGCCCUGAGCAGGCCUGUUAGUUCUGUUCUGGAUGUCUAAUGGAAAAUGGACCAGGUUAAGGGGCAGUGGUGGCUCAAAGUUUAAGUCUCUGGUUUACUGAUCAGAAGGUCGGGGGUUCCUCCAUUCCCACCCAGUACUGUUAGAUAUUGACUGGGAUUUGUUCAGUUAGCAGUGGAUUCAAGUCUGAAAGGCCUUCAGUGAGAAGUCUCUGUGAUCCUGACCUCAGGGUAUCAUCACCAGGUAGAAUGAGCAAGCCAAAUAAAUGGGCAGGUUUUUUGAACCUUUUGCACUGACCAUCAAGCAGGGUUGUGGAAAUGGUAGCUCAGGGGUUAAGACGUUGGACUUCUGACUGGAAGGUUGUGAGUUUAAAUCCCAGCAUUACCAAGUUGCCACUGCUGGGCCCUUGAGCAAAGCCCUUAACCCUCAACUGUUCAGUUGUAUACAAUAAAUGAGAUAAUUGUAAGUUGCUCUGGAUAAGGGCAUCUGCCCAAUGCCACAAAUAAUACACACAGAAUUCAUUAUUUC